This 518-nucleotide ribosomal RNA is filed under the name uncultured bacterium. RNAcentral's name for it is "bacterial SSU rRNA". It matches the Rfam family "Bacterial small subunit ribosomal RNA", at positions 28 to 526 of the family's 1533-position model. The record is from RNAcentral.
GACGAACGCUGGCGGCGCGCCUAACACAUGCAAGUCGAACGAGGUCUUUUAGAAAAGCUUGCUUUUCUGGCUGACCUAGUGGCGGACGGGUGAGUAACACGUGAGCAACCUGCCCUAAAGUGGGGGACAACACCUGGAAACGGGUGCUAAUACCGCAUAAUAUCCUGGAGUGGCAUCGCUUUGGGAUCAAAGGAUUUAUUCGCUUUGGGAUGGGCUCGCGCCCGAUUAGAUAGUUGGUGAGGUAACGGCUCACCAAGUCAACGAUCGGUAGCCGGACUGAGAGGUUGAUCGGCCACAUUGGGACUGAGACACGGCCCAGACUCCUGCGGGAGGCAGCAGUGGGGGAUAGUGCACAAUGGGGGAAACCCUGAUGCAGCGACGCCGCGUGAGUGAAGAAGGCCUUAGGGUUGUAAAGCACUUUCAGCGGGGAGGAAGGGUAUAGGCUUAAUACGUUUAUACAUUGACGUUACCCGCAGAAGAAGCACCGGCUAACUCCGUGCCAGCAGCCGCAGUAAUAC